AAACAUCAUCUUAGCACCUCACUG
Molecule: non-coding RNA, 24 nt
Filed under: Mus musculus (house mouse)
Lineage: Eukaryota; Metazoa; Chordata; Mammalia; Rodentia; Muridae
Source: RNAcentral